GUGGGGAAUAUUGGACAAUGGGCGCAAGCCUGAUCCAGCCAUGCCGCGUGAGUGAAGAAGGCCCUAGGGUUGUAAAACUCUUUCAGCGGGGAAGAUGAUGACGGUACCCGCAGAAGAAGCCCCGGCUAACUCCGUGCCAGCAGCCGCGGUAAUACGGAGGGGGCUAGCGUUGUUCGGAAUUACUGGGCGUAAAGGGUGUGUAGGCGGAUCGAUCAGUCAGGCGUGAAAGCCCCGGGCUCAACCCGGGAAAUGCGCUUGAAACUGUCGAUCUUGAGUUCGGGAGAGGGUAGUGGAAUUCCCAGUGUAGAGGUGAAAUUCGUAGAUAUUGGGAAGAACACCAGUGGCGAAGGCGGCUACCUGGACCGAUACUGACGCUAAUGCGCGAAAGCGUGGGGAGCAAACAGG
This 405-nucleotide ribosomal RNA is filed under the name uncultured bacterium. RNAcentral describes it as "bacterial SSU rRNA". It matches the Rfam family "Bacterial small subunit ribosomal RNA", at positions 354 to 776 of the family's 1533-position model. The record is from RNAcentral.